Molecule: ribosomal RNA, 470 nt
Filed under: uncultured bacterium
Lineage: Bacteria
Description: bacterial SSU rRNA
Rfam family: Bacterial small subunit ribosomal RNA
Source: RNAcentral
ACUCCUACGGGAGGCAGCAGUGGGGAAUAUUGCACAAUGGGCGCAAGCCUGAUGCAGCCAUGCCGCGUGUGUGAAGAAGGCCUUCGGGUUGUAAAGCACUUUCAGUCGUGAGGAAGGUAGUGUAGUUAAUAGCUGCAUUAUUUGGAUCGUUAGACGACAGAAGAAGACACCGGCUAACUCCGUGCCAGCAGCCGCGGUAAUACGGAGGGUGCGAGCGUUAAUCGGAAUUACUGGGCGUAAAGCGCAUGCAGGUGGUUUGUUAAGUCAGAUGUGAAAGCCCGGGGCUCAACCUCGGAAUUGCAUUUGAAACUGGCAGACUAGAGUACUGUAGAGGGGGGUAGAAUUUCAGGUGUAGCGGUGAAAUGCGUAGAGAUCUGAAGGAAUACCGGUGGCGAAGGCGGCCCCCUGGACAGAUACUGACACUCAGAUGCGAAAGGCGUGGGAGCAAACAGGAUUAGAUACCCUGGUAG